Molecule: RNA transcript, 1795 nt
Organism: Oncorhynchus keta (chum salmon)
Lineage: Eukaryota; Metazoa; Chordata; Actinopteri; Salmoniformes; Salmonidae
Gene name: rab5 GDP/GTP exchange factor-like
Exons: 5
Source: RefSeq, a predicted model, not a curated record
AGCCAGCUCUGCUGAGUUUCCUCCAUACAGGCAGCGAGAUGAGUCAGCGGAGAGCGUGCCGCGGGAUCCACAUGGACCAGUCGGAGCUGCUCUGCAACAAGGGCUGUGGUUACUGUGGCAACGCGACCUAGCAGGGCCUGUGCUCCAAGUGCUGGCGGGAAGAGUGCCAGCGAGCCCAACAGAAGCAGAUCCAGGAAGACUGGGCCCUGGCUGUGAAAUGCAUAGACCUGGCCACUCAGAACAGGAUACGGGCGUUACACUGGGUGGACAUUCAGAUGCUCUGUGUGCCAGUGGAUGAGGAGAUCCCAGCGGUGUCAGACAACGUGGUCAAAGCCAUAACAGACAUCAUCAAGAUGGACUCAAAGCAGGUACCAAGGGAGAGCUAGCGUGCAUCACGCGCUGCAGCAAGCACAUCUUUAGCGCCAUCAAGAUCACCAAAAGCGAGCCAGCCUCGGCAGAUGACUUCCUACCCACCCUAAUCUACAUCGUACUGAAGUCCAAUCCACCAUGCCUGCAAUCCAACAUCCAGUACAUCACCCGCUUCUGCAACCCCAGCAGGUUUGUGAAUGGAGAGGACGGAUACUACUUCACUAACCUGUGCUGUGCAGUUGCCUUCAUUGAAAAACUGGACGCCCAGUCCCUCAACUUGGACCCUGUGGACUUUGAGAGCUACAUGUUGGGCCAGGCCUUCCCUCGCAGGCCAGAGGUGGACAGUGGCUGGCCACAGAUUGACACUGCCGCUUCCAUACCCGCCCUGGCCCAGGUCAACCAGAAUCUGGAUCUCCUGUCAGGCCUGCGGAGCCGGCAGGAAAGGGUUCUGGAGGUGGCGCAGAGCAUGCAGAGUGACCUGAUCACCUGGCAGGAGAGUGUAGAGCGAGAGGUGCAGGAAAUCCUGGAGAAGUACCCGUUGGAGAUCAGCCCACCUUCCCUCUCUGCCAUCGACUCAGACAACAUGGAAAACGACCGGCUGCCACUUACGCCCCAGGUGUUUGCUGGGUAAUAUUUCUCCAGAAUGGGAGGCAAGAGGGCUUCUUGAACUAAUGAUCCCGCCUCUCUGUAAUGCUUUGAGCCGUCAUUGGUCUUUACUAUGGCGAGGUUCAGGAAUUGGCAGCCCCCUCGUGUCUAUACUGCUACCAUUUUAAACAUUCACACACAGUAAGCCAAGUAGGCUUUUGUCAAUUUUUCCCCUAGACCCAAAAGCAUUCACAGAUCUAAAUGAAUAGAUAAAAGGAAGGACUAAGUUUGAGGAAAAGAGUUAAGGGACCUUUAAUGGAACCAAGUCUUUACAAUGUUCCUGCAUACACAUACUCCUUUUAGACUAGCCCUCUUCAGAUCAGAUGGCCUGAGUUGGCAUUGGGCACUAAUCUGUACUCCUCUACAUCCCUGCUGCACUGACACAGAUGGCACACCUUGAUACCGUAAGAUAACUUCUCCACCUUGUCGUGCUGAGGAAAGAGGCAUGUUACUUUUAGAUGGCUGCUGGUGAAUUUGGGAAAUGCUGACUAACAUUUAGUUAUUCUUCAGAUAGAGUGGUACAUGUUACAAACUGUGAAACCUAAAGAGUGACCAAGACUCAAGUUACUGUGUUAUAUACAAAAUGCCAGUGAACUGCUGAUAUGGAUUGUGGCAUGUUGUGCAUCAUAGAAGUAAUUGUGAAAGAUGGAUGAUACCUGGGGAAGAUGGAUGAUACCUGGGGAAUGUUCAGGAAGGUGAAAUGCUCAGAUCAAUGCAGAUUAUUUUGUAUAUGUUGAAGGAACACUUAACAGUUCAAUUUGAAUACAGCAUGAUAUUUACU